UACGUAGGGUGCAAGCGUUAAUCGGAAUUACUGGGCGUAAAGCGUGCGUAGGUGGUUGUUAAGUCUGCUGUGAAGCCCCGGGCUCAACCUGGGAAUGGCAGUGGAUACUGGCAAGCUAGAGUGCGAUAGAGGGGUGUGGAAUUCCUGGUGUAGCGGUGGAAUGCGCAGAUAUCAGGAGGAACACCGAUGGCGAAGGCAGGUCUCUGGGCCGCAACUGACGCUGAGGAGCGAAAGCAUGGGGAGCGAACAGG
RNAcentral lists this ribosomal RNA (251 nucleotides) under uncultured bacterium. RNAcentral's name for it is "partial 16S ribosomal RNA". It matches the Rfam family "Bacterial small subunit ribosomal RNA", at positions 524 to 776 of the family's 1533-position model. The record is from RNAcentral.